Molecule: long non-coding RNA, 599 nt
Organism: Coturnix japonica (Japanese quail)
Lineage: Eukaryota; Metazoa; Chordata; Aves; Galliformes; Phasianidae
Source: Ensembl
GGUGGGUAUAUAUGGGGGGAUAUAUGGGGUUUCAUGGGCGAGAUAAGGGGGGAUAUGGGGGGCGAAUAGUGGAGAGUGGGAUAUGGGGUGAUAUGAUGGGGUUAAAUGGGGUGGAUAUGAUAGGGUUCUAUGAGGUGAUAUGGGGGUUAUAUGGGGUUAUAUGGGGGGAUAUGAUGGGAUAUGGGGGGAUAUGAUGGGGUAUGGGGUGGAUAUGGGGGUUAUAUGAGGUUAUAUGGGGGUUAUAUGGGGUUUUAUGGGGGUUAUAUGGGGUUAUAUGGGAGCUAUAGGGGGUUAUAUGGGGUUAUAUGGGGAGAUAUGGGGUUAUAUGGGGUAUAUGGGGUUAUAUGGGGUUAUAUGGGGGAUAUGAUGGGGUAUGGGGUGGAUAUGGGGAUUAUAUGGGGCUUAUAUGGGGUUAUAUAGGGGUAUAUGGGGUGUGUCAAUGGGCACCAUCAGCUGAUGGGGCUGCAAGAGGCUGCCAGGAGGGGAAAGGUGGGUUAUAUGGGGGGAUAUGGGGGGAUAUGAUGGGGUAUGGGGUGGAUAUGGGGUUAUAUAUGGGGUUAGUAUGGGAUUAUAGGGUUAUAUGGAGAUAUGGGAGGUAA